GAAAGAUUGUUAAGGAUAAUGGGGAGGUGUUGGGUAUUUUUGGAAUAAAAGAAAAUAGUGGGGAGGUGUAAAAUAUUUUUGAAAUAAAUUAAAGGCUUAAUUCUCCUAAUGGUCCCUAUUUUCCUCAAGUGCGUUCACUUUGGUCCCCAUAUUUUUUUCUGUUCAAUGUUAUCCUAAAGAGUGUAAAUUUUGUUCAAUUUGGUCCUUUUUGCUAACGCCGUUUAAAUCGUUAACGGCCAGAUCUCCACAUGUGCAAUUAGAGAGUGAACUGUCAUUUAUGUUCUGACGUGGACUAGAUCAGUCAUCAUCAUAGGGACCACAUUCGGAAAUAAUUAACAGAAAUGAGGACUAGAUUGAACAACCUUCAUUCAUUACAAAACAUAGAGCCACAUCACCAUCUUCUUCAACCUUCAGCCCAACCAAAAAUAGAAACCCUACUUUCUUUCUAAAAAUCUAACCCUAGUGCCGCCACACCUAAACCCUCAGGCCACUACCGCAAUCACCACAUACCUGCAAACAAAACCCAAAAGACCAUUACCAUGACGCCGCUACGACCACCUCCACUCGCCACCAUCUUCAUCGCGCGCCUUCACCAUCAUUUUCUUCCCAGUUCGCACUGCCACCAUAGCGAUUGAGGGUUUCGAUUUGGGGGUUUUUGUUGUGUUAUCUAGUUUUUGUAAAUUGGAAUGUAUGAUUUUCGUUUCAAAAUUGAUUUGGGGAAUUCUUGGUUCUUCUUUGUUUUGCGAGUGGUUAGGGAUUUUGUUAUUCCCUGUAGGUAUGGGUUUUGCGAAGUGGGGGAUGAGGGUUCAAAUUGGGAAUGUUAGGGUUUCUGAACUUGGGGUUUUUCGUUUUGGGUUCAUUUGAUUCGCGAUAAUAAGUUUCGUGGUGGUUGUUGUUGGAUGCACGGGUGGCGCCAAUGAAGGUGCUGGUAGGUGGCCAUGGGUGGUGUUUUUGGGUGUUUGUUGGACAGAGAAGAUGAUGGAGGUGAGAAGAUGGUGGCUGGUCGUGACCACUGCGGCGAUGGUUAGGGUUAGGUGGUGACUAGGGUUUUUGUGUAAGGGGAAAUUAGGGUUUCUAGAGGUAGGAGAUGAUGAUGACAUGUCAAUGGUGAUGUGUCAUUGAUUGUACAACUGGACAGUUGGCCGUUAACGAUUUAAACGGCGUUAGCAAAAAAGACACAUCCAUUUAAUGUGAAAUAAUUAUUAUUAAUUU
RNAcentral lists this long non-coding RNA (1212 nucleotides) under Vigna radiata. RNAcentral describes it as "long non-coding RNA (VRAD_LNC005212)". The record is from RNAcentral. Lineage: Eukaryota; Viridiplantae; Streptophyta; Magnoliopsida; Fabales; Fabaceae.